AGUUCAACAAAGAAUUAAGUGCCAGGGUCUGUGCUAGAAGUCGUCUCAUGAGUUGCUUCAUUUUACUGUCCCAGUACCCCUGGGAGGUGUGUGUUUUUUUGU
Molecule: long non-coding RNA, 102 nt
Organism: Sapajus apella (tufted capuchin)
Lineage: Eukaryota; Metazoa; Chordata; Mammalia; Primates; Cebidae
Exons: 3
Source: RefSeq, a predicted model, not a curated record